CGUAGUCUCAGAGUAGUUCGUAUCGUGCACAGACACGCUGCGGCGUGCUUAACACAUGCAAGUCGAACGAUGAAGCCUAGCUUGCUAGGUGGAUUAGUGGCGAACGGGUGAGUAAUACGUGAGUAACCUACCUUUAACUCUGGGAUAAGCCUGGGAAACUGGGUCUAAUACCGGAUACGACCAAUCUCCGCAUGGGGUGUUGGUGGAAAGCGUUAUGUAGUGGUUAUAGAUGGGCUCACGGCCUAUCAGCUUGUUGGUGAGGUAACGGCUCACCAAGGCGACGACGGGUAGCCGGCCUGAGAGGGUGACCGGCCACACUGGGACUGAGACACGGCCCAGACUCCUACGGGAGGCAGCAGUGGGGAAUAUUGCACAAUAGGCGCAAGCCUGAUGCAGCGACGCCGCGUGAGGGAUGACGGCCUUCGGGUUGUAAACCUCUGUUAGCAGGGAAGAAGAGAGAUUGACGGUACCUGCAGAGAAAGCGCCGGCUAACUACGUG
Molecule: ribosomal RNA, 499 nt
Filed under: uncultured Rothia sp.
Lineage: Bacteria; Bacillati; Actinomycetota; Actinomycetes; Micrococcales; Micrococcaceae
Description: bacterial SSU rRNA
Rfam family: Bacterial small subunit ribosomal RNA
Source: RNAcentral